RNAcentral lists this ribosomal RNA (1035 nucleotides) under Triticum aestivum (bread wheat). Its description in RNAcentral is "partial small subunit ribosomal RNA". Lineage: Eukaryota; Viridiplantae; Streptophyta; Magnoliopsida; Poales; Poaceae. The record is from RNAcentral.
AUGGAUAGGCAAAGCAUAUCAUCUCCGGUCUACAACCAUGACGACGAGUUUGAUGUAAUGAAGAACCUCAUCGAUGCCAAGAUGGACAAGCACAUGGAGGAGCUCAAGGUUCUCAUCAACAACUGCAAGAGGUAUUCCUCAGCUUCGAGAAGACGCUCACGUGCAAAGACUCCCAAGCUACCAUCUCCGGCAAGUACACACAAGCAGCGACACCGACAAGACCAUGAAGAGCGACCUUCUAGACGAGAGUUGGCUUCUCUGCCAGCUCCGUGCACACGGGCCUCCAACCCCCGUGCACAUGGGACCCUGUGUGCACGGCCUUCUGCACCCCCGCGUGCAUGGGCUAUACAGAAUCGCGACAUUGAAACCAAGGCUACGGCUUCUUCAACAACAUUGGCAUCUUCGCCACAUGACUUCAAGGCAUCUUCGCCUUCGGAUGUACGACAUCUUCGCCUACUCCACGAGCUCAAGUCCACUACUUCUACGAGCUACUUCGACUUCACCGUCAAAGAUGAGAUUCCAUUCUUUGGGACUCAUGAGCUCGAAGAGUACCUCGAGUGGGAGCACAAGAUGGACGACUACCUCAAGCUACACCAAGCCCCCUCUGAAGAUCAAGUGAAGUGCACCGCAAGUACCUUCCAUGACUACGCGUUGACAUGGUGGCUUCACACACCUUCGAGAAGCCUCAACAUGAGUUGGUCCAACACGAAGAAAGCGACGCGGCGAGAAUUUGUGCCUUCCACCUACAUGGACUAUCUUCUACGCCAAUUGGAGAACACCAUACAAGGAUCCAAGUCCCUUGAUGAGUACUUCAAGAACAUGAAGGAAGCCUUGCGACGAGCCAGUGUGGAUGACCGCAUUUGGAUGAAGGUCUACUUCAUGAUGGGAUUGAACAACAACAUCGCCAAGCCUAUCUUCACCAACAACUACGAGUCCCUCGAUGACAUGUACUUUGGUGCUCUCAAGGCGGAGCAAGAACUCAUGAAGGCCAAGUCUACUCGACCCCAAGCACACUUCGCGACGACCACGCUCUAA